This 215-nucleotide signal recognition particle RNA is filed under the name Chlorocebus sabaeus (green monkey). RNAcentral describes it as "Metazoan signal recognition particle RNA". It matches the Rfam family "Metazoan signal recognition particle RNA". From Rfam's summary of the family: The signal recognition particle (SRP) is a universally conserved ribonucleoprotein. It is involved in the co-translational targeting of proteins to membranes. Lineage: Eukaryota; Metazoa; Chordata; Mammalia; Primates; Cercopithecidae. The record is from Rfam by way of RNAcentral.
GCCGGGCGAGGUGGCAGGUGCCUGUAGUCCCAGCUACUCGGGAGGCUGAGGCAGGAGAAUGGCGUGAAACUCAGAGGCGGAGCUUGCAGUGAGCUGAGAUGGUGCCAUUGCACUCCAGCCUGGAUNNNNNNNNNNAUCCAGGCUGGAGUGCAAUGGCACCAUCUCAGCUCACUGCAAGCUCCGCCUCUGAGUUUCACGCCAUUCUCCUGCCUCAG